This 989-nucleotide ribosomal RNA is filed under the name Vibrio scophthalmi LMG 19158. RNAcentral's name for it is "bacterial SSU rRNA". It matches the Rfam family "Bacterial small subunit ribosomal RNA", at positions 44 to 1020 of the family's 1533-position model. Lineage: Bacteria; Pseudomonadati; Pseudomonadota; Gammaproteobacteria; Vibrionales; Vibrionaceae. The record is from RNAcentral.
AUGCGGAGCUACACAUGCAGUCGAGCGGUAACAUUUAGAAGCUUGCUUUUUUUGCUGACGAGCGGCGGACGGGUGAGUAAUGCCUGGGAAUAUGCCUUGAUGUGGGGGAUAACCAUUGGAAACGAUGGCUAAUACCGCAUAAUGCCUACGGGCCAAAGAGGGGGAUCUUCGGACCUCUCGCGUCAAGAUUAGCCCAGGUGGGAUUAGCUAGUUGGUGAGGUAAUGGCUCACCAAGGCGACGAUCCCUAGCUGGUCUGAGAGGAUGAUCAGCCACACUGGAACUGAGACACGGUCCAGACUCCUACGGGAGGCAGCAGUGGGGAAUAUUGCACAAUGGGCGCAAGCCUGAUGCAGCCAUGCCGCGUGUGUGAAGAAGGCCUUCGGGUUGUAAAGCACUUUCAGUCGUGAGGAAGGUAGUUGCGUUAAUAGCGUAAUUAUUUGACGUUAGCGACAGAAGAAGCACCGGCUAACUCCGUGCCAGCAGCCGCGGUAAUACGGAGGGUGCGAGCGUUAAUCGGAAUUACUGGGCGUAAAGCGCAUGCAGGUGGUUUGUUAAGUCAGAUGUGAAAGCCCGGGGCUCAACCUCGGAAUUGCAUUUGAAACUGGCAGACUAGAGUACUGUAGAGGGGGGUAGAAUUUCAGGUGUAGCGGUGAAAUGCGUAGAGAUCUGAAGGAAUACCGGUGGCGAAGGCGGCCCCCUGGACAGAUACUGACACUCAGAUGCGAAAGCGUGGGGAGCAAACAGGAUUAGAUACCCUGGUAGUCCACGCCGUAAACGAUGUCUACUUGGAGGUUGUGGCCUUGAGCCGUGGCUUUCGGAGCUAACGCGUUAAGUAGACCGCCUGGGGAGUACGGUCGCAAGAUUAAAACUCAAAUGAAUUGACGGGGGCCCGCACAAGCGGUGGAGCAUGUGGGUUUAAUUCGAUGCAACGCGAGACCUUACCUACUCUUGACAUCCAGAGAAGCCAGCGGAGACGCAGUGUGCCCUC